GUGAGCGUAGCUCAGUUGGUAGAGCGCCAGAUUGUGGCUCUGGUGGUCACGGGUUCGAGCCCCGUCGCUCACC
This 73-nucleotide transfer RNA is filed under the name Thermus scotoductus. RNAcentral's name for it is "tRNA-His". It matches the Rfam family "tRNA". From Rfam's summary of the family: Transfer RNA (tRNA) molecules are approximately 80 nucleotides in length. Their secondary structure includes four short double-helical elements and three loops (D, anti-codon, and T loops). The record is from RNAcentral. Lineage: Bacteria; Thermotogati; Deinococcota; Deinococci; Thermales; Thermaceae. RNAcentral also lists the same sequence under 2 other names.